Olea europaea var. sylvestris is the source of this 297-nucleotide long non-coding RNA. RefSeq lists it as uncharacterized. The transcript has 3 exons. The record is from RefSeq and is a predicted model, not a curated record. NCBI's taxonomy places the organism in Eukaryota, Viridiplantae, Streptophyta, Magnoliopsida, Lamiales, Oleaceae.
GUAGAGUCGGCUAUCGGUGUUUGCUGCACGGAUUCCGGGGUUUCUGGGCAAAGAAAUUUCUGAAGGCGAAGAGGAGGCAAGAGAAGGAGGUUACGUACACUAUUCAUGGAUUUCCCAUUGCCAUGCAGGUUUGGGCGUACGAGGCAGUUCCCGAGAUUGGGGAACGUUUUGGUCAGAGAGUUGGGGAACAAAUGCCACGAUUGCUUAGGUGGUCCGCACGAAAACAACCACAGCAUCGUACGUACGAUACAUUCUUCAAGAACGUGCGGUUGCAUGUGUAUGCCACACUUCGUCCCA